UCGUCGGUUUCGCGAUUUAACGGUGGGGACCUCCACCGUUAAAGUUAGCGUCGGUUAUAGGUCAUCGGUUAGCGAAAUUUCGGCCCAUGAAUACGCCGUUGUCGCGCUAACCGACGACUAGUCACGUGACCGGUAUCGGUUAAGGCUUAACCGACGUCCAUGAAUACAAGCCCUGGUCACUGACAGCUGUAGAUACCAAGCUCCUGCUACAGUCUGCAGCACACACUAUGGAGAAUACAGAAGCAGGAUAUGGCUGUCACUGACCAGCUAUCUGGUUGUUGGUGUUGGAACACUCACAGCAAUCUGGCUUUGGCGUUCUUGUCAAGAGCAGAUGACUUUUAAACGGAUGGGUGUUCCUGGUCCGACACCUAUUCCCAUUAUUGGAAACAUGUUGACCAUAUUAAGAAAGGGAAUGGUUCACGUCUUUCCUUUUUGGAACAAACAGUAUGGCAAAAUAUAUGGUGUUUUCAUGCCCUCACCAGUUCUAGUAAUUAACGACCUUGAUCUGAUCAAAGAUAUUGCAAUCAAACAGUUCCAGUCGUUUCCCAACAGAAAGGUAGAGUUAUUACUUCAGUUUUGUUGAGGAGAUUGCUUAAUUUUCUUUAUAUUGCAAAA
This 615-nucleotide unclassified non-coding RNA is filed under the name Pomacea canaliculata. Its description in RNAcentral is "cytochrome P450 3A8-like, transcript variant X2". The record is from RNAcentral. Lineage: Eukaryota; Metazoa; Mollusca; Gastropoda; Architaenioglossa; Ampullariidae.